UUAGGGUUGAAUUUCAAUUUCCUAAUAGCAAAAUGUACAGUUGUUUACAACGACAAUUUUUUAAAGGUAGUUACACAACCCUUAUUAAAAUUAAUUGUGCCCAAACAAACUCGAAAUCCGGGAAGGAAAAAAUGAUAGUUUUGCUUGCUAUUCAUAAAAAUGUAGUGUCCACCUCGGUUGAAUUAUUCGAGGAGGUCAUACACAUGUAAAUUGUGAAUUUUGCUAUCAUGAAUUUUGACCCAAAAUUAGGCAACGUUCUUUGCGCAGGGGCUCGUUGGGUGUGACCACGAAAUAAUAAUAAAUGUGUCGCCUGUUUUGACUUUAUUCUCUUGUUUUUUAUGUCACGAUAUCGCAAUUAAUUGAAAUUAUUGGGCGAAGAGGAGACCAAUCUGUGGUUUGGUCUGGUAUGGUCGUGAAACGCUACCAAGUUUGGUAACUGCUACCGGGUUUGAUAAGGAGGCACAAAUUAGUGGAUUUUUUACAGGAUAAACCUACAAAAUAGUGACCUUUUUGUGUAAUAAAUUACGUAUCUUUUCGUCUUUAGAGACACCGAACUUGUCGUUGUAUCGUCACUCCAUUACAAAUGCGGGUUGGUCGUAUUUUGGUAGGAGUUGAUUUUGUGUAUAGUGACAAGAGGACACCUCGGACAGGAGGAGAGAUUGCCAUAAAUCUAGUCGUGGCAGAGUGGUGCCAUAAAUAAGUCAGCGUGGAUAACGACGCCGGGUGAAAGAAUAUUAUUCCCCAUUUUCCUUCAACGUGAGUUCCCCCAUCGUGGAAGCCGGUUUACAGAAGCUGAUUGAUGGAAAUUGGCCCGAUAAGAAUUAAGCGAAGAGACGAAGAAGGAAAGAUUUAUUCUAUUUUAUUUUAUUGCUCACCAACUAUUUAAGCAUUUCGGGGGCUUUGCAAAACAAAUUAUGCAAAUUUUUGCAUGCCCUCAAAAAACACGAAGUAAAUUGUUAAUUCAAAAUUAUUUCCGAUAUGAAAAUAAAUAAUCUCCGAAAUUCGGUGACA
Folsomia candida is the source of this 1011-nucleotide long non-coding RNA. RefSeq lists it as uncharacterized. The transcript is spliced from 2 exons. NCBI's taxonomy places the organism in Eukaryota, Metazoa, Arthropoda, Collembola, Entomobryomorpha, Isotomidae. The record is from RefSeq and is a predicted model, not a curated record.